This is a non-coding RNA of Lonchura striata (white-rumped munia), 321 nucleotides long. NCBI's taxonomy places the organism in Eukaryota, Metazoa, Chordata, Aves, Passeriformes, Estrildidae. The record is from RefSeq and is a predicted model, not a curated record.
GUGUGGCUGUAUCAGACAGACACCAAUGAAUAGUGUCUCCUCUUUUGGAAAUGAGAGAAGUGUCAAGCAGCAUAGUUUUGGGUAUUAUUUUAAUGUUUCAGUGAUUUCAAACAAUAUCAGUAAAGCCAACCAACAUAUGAAGACAAAGUAGGAUCCACUGGUCAAAGGUCUGAAUUGGUGCCAUAUGAUGAUGAAUUCCUAUACAAAGACACGGCAGGACCUGAUUAAGAGUUAAAAAAAGAAAAAAACCAGUUUGCUUUGGUAGACAGAAUAAAGGACCUGUUGCCACGUGCUCCCUGUACUAUUCAGCUAUAACCUGCA